UUGUCUAACUGUCCCUAUUCUGUGUAAGUCAGCUAGGUGUUGAUCCUGUGAGAUUAGUAAAAAUAUGUAUCCAGAUGGUUAAGAGGUCCUGGGCAGGUAAUUUUGUUUUUUACCAAGCUAUUCACACCCACCAGGGCUUCUCUGACAUCAGAGUAACCAUGAGAACAAAGCUUGAGUCAUCAGGACCCUGAGACAUGAGCGCCUCAUUCAUCCUUUCCCUGCUGUGUCCUCCCAUCUGCAUUUUGAGUGAUAUUGUACCACCACUGCUGGGAAAAUAUGGAAUUAAUCAACAUUGUUCAUGUGCCUGGAGAAGCCUAGAGCAUGGACCCGCCUGUCAGUCAACACAUCAAUGGAUACAAGCAGUGGAUAAUGGUAACACUGAGCUCAUGGGCUUCAGUUCCAUGAUGUCUUCUCUUCCUCCUCAUCUCUUAGAACUUCAUAAGUCCCAGUGCAAGAGUCAAUAAUCUUAGCAUCAUCUUUCCAGUCCCUUUCUCCUGGUCCGUGACCUCACUGCACACAUCAUCAAGACACUGGAGACCUCUGUCAAGAGAAAUAAUUCAUCUUUGUUCAAGUCACCUUUACCUGCUUCAGAGACCUGUUUGAGAAUAUGUGUGCAACCCUAGAAGCCACAUGCUGGUGAUGGUGAAGCCACGGAUGGAAGGAGCUUCGGUCCCAGAAUCACCACUGUGAUAGAGAAACUUUCAUUACGUGAAGCCCUUGGGAUGUGAAGGUUUAUCUAUUACAACAACUAGCCUACCCUUGGUUAAUAUACUCAGGAUGCUCAUAUGGAGAAAAAGAGGGUGCUAGUUAGAAUGAUUUCUGAGGUCCUUCAGAGCUUAAUAGCUUCUGGUUCUAUGGCGCCAUGAAAGAAGAGUGCAAAUUCUAGCAGCAUCGCAUUGAACAUGAUUUAUAGUAACUUGUGAGCUUCUCUAUAGUCCCUGUCUUUGGAGAACUUCCAUUUGAGGCCAGCUGUGGUAAAUAGCUUUACUUUCUUGGCACUGUACUUUAUUCCAAAUGAAAUAAGUCAGAACCCUUCUCAUCUCUGUGGACUGAAUAUAAUUGCAAGGGCCUCUUCAUGUGCUCCAGGAAAUGAUGAACAUGAAAUAAAUAAUGUUUUGCAAA
Hyaena hyaena (striped hyena) is the source of this 1122-nucleotide long non-coding RNA. RefSeq lists it as uncharacterized. Lineage: Eukaryota; Metazoa; Chordata; Mammalia; Carnivora; Hyaenidae. The transcript has 4 exons. The record is from RefSeq and is a predicted model, not a curated record.